CUCUUCACUUAGGUAGGUCCUGCCGCGUUGACCACUGGCGUCUCGCUGGUGGUCUUCGAGACCGGCGUUGGUUGAAAAUCGCCCCCGGCUUUGGCCGUGGCCGCGGGUGAGAUUCGGCGCCCAGAGCCCCCGGGGGCCUCAGCUCACCGCGCGCUGCCCCAUGUGCGGCGGUGAAACCCAGGCCCCGACAGGCGCUGCCGCCUCCCCCCCGGGUGCGGUCGCUCGCGAGGUCUGGCCCCUGACUCCUGACCCCGACUGCAGACCCCUAACCUUGUUCUUUCUCCGCAGGACACUGGUCCUCCCACGCCUGACACCGACGUCGCCAGGACCGCGGGGUUGGGGGAACUUGGCUGUCCCACGUCUUUCAAAUAAAGCUGUUUUGUC
This 384-nucleotide long non-coding RNA is filed under the name Homo sapiens (human). Its description in RNAcentral is "HSALNT0384028". The stretch from base 67 to 193 matches the Rfam family "Small nucleolar RNA ACA64". Lineage: Eukaryota; Metazoa; Chordata; Mammalia; Primates; Hominidae. The record is from RNAcentral.